UACAGAGGGGGCAAGCGUUGUUCGGAAUUACUGGGCGUAAAGGGUGCGUAGGCGGCCCUGUAAGUCAGUGGUGAAAUUCUUGAGCUUAACUGAAGGAUUGCCAUUGAUACUGUAGGGCUUGAGUACAGAUGAGGUAGGCGGAAUUGAUGGUGUAGCGGUGAAAUGCAUAGAUACCAUCAAGAACACCGAUUGCGAAGGCAGCUUACUAAGCUGUAACUGACGCUGAUGCACGAAAGCGUGGGGAGCGAACAGG
Molecule: ribosomal RNA, 253 nt
Filed under: uncultured bacterium
Lineage: Bacteria
Description: partial 16S ribosomal RNA
Rfam family: Bacterial small subunit ribosomal RNA
Source: RNAcentral